Molecule: ribosomal RNA, 254 nt
Filed under: uncultured bacterium
Lineage: Bacteria
Description: partial 16S ribosomal RNA
Rfam family: Bacterial small subunit ribosomal RNA
Source: RNAcentral
UACGGAGGGUGCAAGCGUUGUCCGGAUUUAUUGGGUUUAAAGGGUGCGUAGGUGGCCCUGUAAGUCAGUGGUGAAAUACUGCAGCUUAACUGUAGCAUUGCCAUUGAUACUGUAGGGCUUGAGUACAGAUGAGGUAGGCGGAAUUGAUGGUGUAGCGGUGAAAAUGCAUAGAUACCAUCAAGAACACCGAUUGCGAAGGCAGCUUACUAAGCUGUAACUGACGCUGAGGCACGAAAGCGUGGGGAUCGAACAGG